Rhincodon typus (whale shark) is the source of this 432-nucleotide long non-coding RNA. RefSeq lists it as uncharacterized. Lineage: Eukaryota; Metazoa; Chordata; Chondrichthyes; Orectolobiformes; Rhincodontidae. The record is from RefSeq and is a predicted model, not a curated record. The transcript is spliced from 4 exons.
AUUGGAUCAACUAGUUUCAGCUAUUCCUGUACUCUCCGGUGAGGUUCAGGGUGAUCAACUGAAAAUUUCUCCACUGGACAAGGAUGCUGGAGAAAAGUUCCACAUUACCUGGAACAUAACAGUGCUUUGUAACAUCCAGGAGCACAGCUGAUCCAAUACAGGAUCUAGAAUGGAAUUUUGCACAGUCAUCUCACCCUGGUCCAACCAAGAGUUGUUGAAAUUUCUAUAGGAGGAAGCUUGCAGGCACUGGCAAGCUGUAUCCCAAAGAAUGGUCUCAUAGCCAUAGAAGGCAAAAUCUUUGCUCCUUCCUCUGAAGGCCGUGGAGAGAUGCAUACACCGCCUGUUUCUGCUCACAAAUGUAUGGAAGUAAAGGGAGGUUCAUAUUGAAAUGAUGUCAAUAUACUGGAUCGGUGAAGCAUGAUAAAAUAUAAU